Molecule: ribosomal RNA, 494 nt
Filed under: uncultured bacterium
Lineage: Bacteria
Description: partial 16S ribosomal RNA
Rfam family: Bacterial small subunit ribosomal RNA
Source: RNAcentral
GACGAACGCUGGCGGCGUGCUUAACACAUGCAAGUCGAACGGUGAAGCGCCUUCCUUUUUGGUGGGUGUGGAUGAGUGGCGAACGGGUGAGUAACACGUGAGUAACCUGCCCCCUUCUUCUGGAUAACCGCAUGAAAGUGUGGCUAAUACGGGAUAUUCUGGGUCUGUCGCAUGAUGGGUCUGGGAAAGAUAUUGUUUCGGUGGGGGAUGGGCUCGCGGCCUAUCAGCUUGUUGGUGGGGUGAUGGCCUACCAAGGCGGUGACGGGUAGCCGGCCUGAGGGGGUGGACGGUCACACUGGGACUGAGACACGGCCCAGACUCCUACGGGAGGCAGCAGUGGGGAAUAUUGCACAAUGGGCGCAGGCCUGAUGCAGCGACGCCGCGUGAGGGAUGGAGGCCUUCGGGUUGUGAACCUCUUUCGCCAGUGAAGCAGGCCUGCCUCGUUUGUGGGUGGGUUGACGGUAGCUGGAUAAGAAGCGCCGGCUAACUACGUG